Syngnathus acus (greater pipefish) is the source of this 361-nucleotide long non-coding RNA. RefSeq lists it as uncharacterized. The record is from RefSeq and is a predicted model, not a curated record. The transcript has 2 exons. Lineage: Eukaryota; Metazoa; Chordata; Actinopteri; Syngnathiformes; Syngnathidae.
AAAAACUUCCAAUUCGAAAAACGGCAUGUGGUUUAUUAAGGAGUUGGGCCACGUCUAUUUCCCUAACAACUGCAAGGCCGCCAUCUCCAGAAUUACAAGAAAACACCUACAGGAGUUAGAAAAGGACAAUGGCUAUCACGAUGAAUGGGAUCAUCACAUAUUGAAUUUUACACUGUGCAAGGUCAAGUCCGAAUUCAAAGAUGAUGUCACGUUCAUGAAUUGAAGCAACAACAGGACCACUUUGAUGGCUGCAUCAAUGGAAUGAUUGAAGAAAGGGCGCCGUGGCACACACAGUACGUAGGCUACAUAAGGAUUAGAAUAUCUAUACACACACCGUACACAUUCUAAGAUACAAUAUACU